RNAcentral lists this ribosomal RNA (300 nucleotides) under uncultured Desulfurococcus sp. RNAcentral describes it as "partial 16S ribosomal RNA". The stretch from base 58 to 300 matches the Rfam family "Bacterial small subunit ribosomal RNA", at positions 553 to 795 of the family's 1533-position model. The record is from RNAcentral. Lineage: Archaea; Thermoproteati; Thermoproteota; Thermoprotei; Desulfurococcales; Desulfurococcaceae.
GCUGACGUCGGUCUAGCAGUGGCGGGAAGGAGUAGGGGGGCGGGGUGGUGCGGAGGGACUGGGGGUAAAGGGCGCGGAGGGGUGGCGGUAAGAGCGGGGGGGAAGCCCCCGGGUCGACCGGGGAGGGUCGUUGGUGACGGCCGGGCUGGAAGGCAGCAGGGGUGAGUGGAAUUCCCGGUGUAGUGGUGAAAGGCGUAGAGAUCGGGAGGAACACCCGUGGCGAAGGCGGCGCACUGGGCUGACCUUGACGCUGAGGCGCGAAGGCGUGGGGAGCGAACGGGAUUAGAUACCCCUGUAGUC